CUGUGAUUUUGUAGUAGUUUCUAUCUGAGAUUUUUUUUUCUUAUAUAUGUGAAAAAAACAUAUUAGUAGCCAAUACUGCAAUAGCAAACAGUCCACUCUGACUGAAUCUUAGUUACUUAGGAUAGUCUGUCCAACAUUGCCCCAGGAUAUCAUUUGAAUUGUCUCCUAGAGGAGGGAAUCAAAACCCUCAUACACAUUUAUGAUUGGAGUCUCAAACAAUUUUGGAAUCUAAAUUGUAUUUUUCAGUUUAAAACAAAAUUCCUAUUACAUAUAUAUAUAUAUAUAAAUAUAUUAAAAAUGUACAAGGCAGAAAAAGUGGUAUGAUAUGAUUGAAUCACUGGCAUGAAUGAAACAAUUUCUGAGAUUUUUUUCAUCUUUUAUUUUAAAUAGGUAUCACACAGGUUUUCAAUGAUGUUUGCUUUUUUUGCGGGGACUUUGAAGACAUUGCAAACAAUCCUGAAAUAGUUCAGCUGAAGGAAGACUUCAGUAUUGUGCGGCCCAUAUACAAAGGAUGCAUUGGAAGAAAAUGAAACCUGCGACCAGGAAUGCCAAAAAAGUUAAAAAAA
This 566-nucleotide long non-coding RNA is filed under the name Mytilus galloprovincialis (Mediterranean mussel). Lineage: Eukaryota; Metazoa; Mollusca; Bivalvia; Mytilida; Mytilidae. The record is from RNAcentral.